RNAcentral lists this ribosomal RNA (731 nucleotides) under uncultured bacterium. Its description in RNAcentral is "bacterial SSU rRNA". It matches the Rfam family "Bacterial small subunit ribosomal RNA", at positions 771 to 1501 of the family's 1533-position model. The record is from RNAcentral.
AACAGGAUUAGAUACCCUGGUAGUCCACGCUGUAAACGAUGUCGACUUGGAGGUUGUGCCCUUGAGGCGUGGCUUCCGGAGCUAACGCGUUAAGUCGACCGCCUGGGGAGUACGGCCGCAAGGUUAAAACUCAAAUGAAUUGACGGGGGCCCGCACAAGCGGUGGAGCAUGUGGUUUAAUUCGAUGCAACGCGAAGAACCUUACCUACUCUUGACAUCCAGAGAAUUCGCUAGAGAUAGCUUAGUGCCUUCGGGAACUCUGAGACAGGUGCUGCAUGGCUGUCGUCAGCUCGUGUUGUGAAAUGUUGGGUUAAGUCCCGCAACGAGCGCAACCCUUAUCCUUUGUUGCCAGCACGUAAUGGUGGGAACUCAAAGGAGACUGCCGGUGAUAAACCGGAGGAAGGUGGGGAUGACGUCAAGUCAUCAUGGCCCUUACGAGUAGGGCUACACACGUGCUACAAUGGCGUAUACAAAGAGAAGCGAACUCGCGAGAGCAAGCGGACCUCAUAAAGUACGUCGUAGUCCGGAUCGGAGUCUGCAACUCGACUCCGUGAAGUCGGAAUCGCUAGUAAUCGUAGAUCAGAAUGCUACGGUGAAUACGUUCCCGGGCCUUGUACACACCGCCCGUCACACCAUGGGAGUGGGUUGCAAAAGAAGUAGGUAGCUUAACCUUCGGGAGGGCGCUUACCACUUUGUGAUUCAUGACUGGGGUGAAGUCGUAACAAGGUAACC